This 1062-nucleotide ribosomal RNA is filed under the name Gordonia sp. (in: high G+C Gram-positive bacteria). RNAcentral's name for it is "bacterial SSU rRNA". It matches the Rfam family "Bacterial small subunit ribosomal RNA", at positions 341 to 1414 of the family's 1533-position model. The record is from RNAcentral. Lineage: Bacteria; Bacillati; Actinomycetota; Actinomycetes; Mycobacteriales; Gordoniaceae.
ACGGGAGGCAGCAGUGGGGAAUAUUGCACAAUGGGCGCAAGCCUGAUGCAGCGACGCCGCGUGAGGGAUGACGGCCUUCGGGUUGUAAACCUCUUUCAGCUCCGACGAAGCGCAAGUGACGGUAGGAGCAGAAGAAGCACCGGCCAACUACGUGCCAGCAGCCGCGGUAAUACGUAGGGUGCAAGCGUUGUCCGGAAUUACUGGGCGUAAAGAGCUCGUAGGCGGUUUGUCGCGUCGUCUGUGAAAUUCUGCAGCUUAACUGCAGGCGUGCAGGCGAUACGGGCAGACUUGAGUACUACAGGGGAGACUGGAAUUCCUGGUGUAGCGGUGAAAUGCGCAGAUAUCAGGAGGAACACCGGUGGCGAAGGCGGGUCUCUGGGUAGUAACUGACGCUGAGGAGCGAAAGCGUGGGUAGCGAACAGGAUUAGAUACCCUGGUAGUCCACGCCGUAAACGGUGGGUACUAGGUGUGGGUUUCAUUUCACGGAAUCCGUGCCGUAGCUAACGCAUUAAGUACCCCGCCUGGGGAGUACGGCCGCAAGGCUAAAACUCAAAGGAAUUGACGGGGGCCCGCACAAGCGGCGGAGCAUGUGGAUUAAUUCGAUGCAACGCGAAGAACCUUACCUGGGUUUGACAUACACCAGACGCAGUCAGAGAUGGCUGUUCCCUUGUGGUUGGUGUACAGGUGGUGCAUGGCUGUCGUCAGCUCGUGUCGUGAGAUGUUGGGUUAAGUCCCGCAACGAGCGCAACCCUUGUCCUGUAUUGCCAGCGGGUUAUGCCGGGGACUUGCAGGAGACUGCCGGGGUCAACUCGGAGGAAGGUGGGGAUGACGUCAAGUCAUCAUGCCCCUUAUGUCCAGGGCUUCACACAUGCUACAAUGGCUGGUACAGAGGGCUGCGAGACCGUGAGGUGGAGCGAAUCCCUUAAAGCCAGUCUCAGUUCGGAUUGGGGUCUGCAACUCGACCCCAUGAAGUCGGAGUCGCUAGUAAUCGCAGAUCAGCAACGCUGCGGUGAAUACGUUCCCGGGCCUUGUACACACCGCCCGUCACGUCAUGAAAGUCGG